GUGUGGGCGUACGAAACACUGCAAACAUGUAAUACGGAAGUCAAGGAACUGUUAAGAAUAAAACUUUCAACAACGGAUCCGUUAGUUCUCGCAUCGAUGAAGAGCGCAGCGAAAUGCGAUACCUAGUGUGAAUUGCAGCCAUCGUGAAUCAUCGAGUUCUUGAACGCACAUUGCGCCCCUUGGUAUUCCGGGGGGCAUGCCUGUUUGAGCGUCGUUUCCAUCUCACGCUGCUGCCGUGCGGACCCAGCCAGCGAUGGCCGUGGGUGCGCGUGGGGGCGGGGUGGAGCUGGCAGCGCCUAGGCCUUGCCGAAAAGAAACGAGGAGAAGCGAACUAUAUUGGUGCGCGGACCCGGCUUUACAUCGAGCUCGACCUCAAAUCAGGUAGGAAUACCCGCUGAACUUAAGCAUAUCAAA
RNAcentral lists this ribosomal RNA (414 nucleotides) under [Candida] sp. Z8Y15. RNAcentral's name for it is "eukaryotic LSU rRNA". The stretch from base 62 to 214 matches the Rfam family "5.8S ribosomal RNA". Lineage: Eukaryota; Fungi; Ascomycota; Saccharomycetes; Saccharomycetales. The record is from RNAcentral.